This 78-nucleotide transfer RNA is filed under the name Flavitalea plasmicola. RNAcentral's name for it is "Flavitalea sp. BT771 tRNA-Phe". It matches the Rfam family "tRNA". From Rfam's summary of the family: Transfer RNA (tRNA) molecules are approximately 80 nucleotides in length. Their secondary structure includes four short double-helical elements and three loops (D, anti-codon, and T loops). Further hydrogen bonds mediate the characteristic L-shaped molecular structure. tRNAs have two regions of fundamental functional importance: the anti-codon, which is responsible for specific mRNA codon recognition, and the 3' end, to which the tRNAs corresponding amino acid is attached (by aminoacyl-tRNA synthetases). tRNAs cope with the degeneracy of the genetic code in two manners: having more than one tRNA (with a specific anti-codon) for a particular amino acid; and 'wobble' base-pairing, i.e. permitting non-standard base-pairing at the 3rd anti-codon position. The record is from RNAcentral. Lineage: Bacteria; Pseudomonadati; Bacteroidota; Chitinophagia; Chitinophagales; Chitinophagaceae.
GGCGCUUUGACAGAGAUGGUUCUAUUGCGCCGGCCCGAAAAGCCGGUGAUCGGGGUCCGAUUCCCCGGGGCGCCGCCA